RNAcentral lists this ribosomal RNA (492 nucleotides) under uncultured bacterium. Its description in RNAcentral is "partial 16S ribosomal RNA". It matches the Rfam family "Bacterial small subunit ribosomal RNA", at positions 29 to 507 of the family's 1533-position model. The record is from RNAcentral.
AGUGAACGCUGGCGGUAGGCCUAACACAUGCAAGUCGAACGGCAGCACAGUAAGAGCUUGCUCUUACGGGUGGCGAGUGGCGGACGGGUGAGGAAUACAUCGGAAUCUACUUUUUCGUGGGGGAUAACGUAGGGAAACUUACGCUAAUACCGCAUACGACCUACGGGUGAAAGCAGGGGAUCUUCGGACCUUGCGCGAUUGAAUGAGCCGAUGUCGGAUUAGCUAGUUGGCGGGGUAAAGGCCCACCAAGGCGACGAUCCGUAGCUGGUCUGAGAGGAUGAUCAGCCACACUGGAACUGAGACACGGUCCAGACUCCUACGGGAGGCAGCAGUGGGGAAUAUUGGACAAUGGGCGCAAGCCUGCUCCAGCCAUACCGCGUGGGUGAAGAAGGCCUUCGGGUUGUAAAGCCCUUUUGUUGGGAAAGAAAAGCAGCAGGUUAAUACCCCGCUGUUCUGACGGUACCCAAAGAAUAGGCACCGGCUAACUUCGUG